This 466-nucleotide ribosomal RNA is filed under the name uncultured bacterium. RNAcentral's name for it is "partial 16S ribosomal RNA". It matches the Rfam family "Bacterial small subunit ribosomal RNA", at positions 28 to 507 of the family's 1533-position model. The record is from RNAcentral.
GAUGAACGCUGGCGGCGUGCUUAACACAUGCAAGUCGAACGGAAAGGCUCCUGCUUGCAGGGGUACUCGAGUGGCGAACGGGUGUGUAACACGUGGGUGAUCUGCCCUGCACUUCGGGAUAAGCCUGGGAAACUGGGUCUAAUACCGGAUAGGACGAUGGUUUGGAUGCCAUUGUGGAAAGUUUUUUCGGUGUGGGAUGAGCUCGCGGCCUAUCAGCUUGUUGGUGGGGUAAUGGCCUACCAAGGCGUCGACGGGUAGCCGGCCUGAGAGGGUGUACGGCCACAUUGGGACUGAGAUACGGCCCAGACUCCUACGGGAGGCAGCAGUGGGGAAUAUUGCACAAUGGGCGCAAGCCUGAUGCAGCGACGCCGCGUGGGGGAUGACGGCCUUCGGGUUGUAAACUCCUUUCGCUAGGGACGAAGCGCAAGUGACGGUACCUGGAGAAGAAGCACCGGCUAACUACGUG